RNAcentral lists this transfer RNA (68 nucleotides) under Marmota monax (woodchuck). RNAcentral's name for it is "tRNA.Ala". Lineage: Eukaryota; Metazoa; Chordata; Mammalia; Rodentia; Sciuridae. The record is from RNAcentral.
GCUGGGGCUCAGUGGGAGAGCACCUGCCUAGCAUGUGUGAGGCACUGGGUUCAAUUCUCAGCACUGCA